Molecule: ribosomal RNA, 253 nt
Filed under: uncultured bacterium
Lineage: Bacteria
Description: partial 16S ribosomal RNA
Rfam family: Bacterial small subunit ribosomal RNA
Source: RNAcentral
UACGUAGGGUGCGAGCGUUGUCCGGAAUUAUUGGGCGUAAAGGGCUCGUAGGCGGUUUGUCGCGUCGGGAGUGAAAUCCACUGGCUUAACUGGUGGCUUGCUUUCGAUACGGGCAGACUGGAGGUAUGCAGGGGAGAACGGAAUUCCUGGUGUAGCGGUGAAAUGCGCGGAUAUCAGGAGGAACACCGGUGGCGAAGGCGGUUCUCUGGGCAUGUCCUGACGCUGAGGAGCGAAAGUGUGGGGAGCGAACAGG